RNAcentral lists this transfer RNA (84 nucleotides) under candidate division WOR-1 bacterium RIFOXYA2_FULL_37_7. Its description in RNAcentral is "tRNA-Leu". It matches the Rfam family "tRNA". From Rfam's summary of the family: Transfer RNA (tRNA) molecules are approximately 80 nucleotides in length. Their secondary structure includes four short double-helical elements and three loops (D, anti-codon, and T loops). RNAcentral also lists the same sequence under 2 other names. Lineage: Bacteria; Bacillati. The record is from RNAcentral.
GGGCGAGUGGCGGAACUGGCAGACGCACAUGACUUAGGAUCAUGCGGGCUAAUCCCCUUGGAGGUUCAAGUCCUCUCUCGCCCA